This 305-nucleotide ribosomal RNA is filed under the name uncultured bacterium. RNAcentral's name for it is "bacterial SSU rRNA". It matches the Rfam family "Bacterial small subunit ribosomal RNA", at positions 338 to 660 of the family's 1533-position model. The record is from RNAcentral.
CCUACGGGGGGCAGCAGUGGGGAAUAUUGCACAAUGGGGGAAACCCUGAUGCAGCAACGCCGCGUGAGUGAUGACGGCCUUCGGGUUGUAGAGCUCUGUCUUCAGGGACGAUAAUGACGGUACCUGAGGAGGAAGCCACGGCUAACUACGUGCCAGCAGCCGCGGUAAUACGUAGGUGGCGAGCGUUGUCCGGAUUUACUGGGCGUAAAGGGAGCGUAGGCGGAUUUUUAAGUGAGAUGUGAAAUACUCGGGCUCAACUUGAGUGCUGCAUUUCAAACUGGAAGUCUAAAGUACAGGAGAGGAGA